This 497-nucleotide ribosomal RNA is filed under the name uncultured bacterium. Its description in RNAcentral is "partial 16S ribosomal RNA". It matches the Rfam family "Bacterial small subunit ribosomal RNA", at positions 28 to 507 of the family's 1533-position model. The record is from RNAcentral.
GACGAACGCUGGCGGCGUGCCUAAUACAUGCAAGUAGAACGCUGAAGAGAGGAGCUUGCUCUUCUUGGCUGAGUUGCGAACGGGUGAGUAACGCGUAGGUAACCUGCCUUGUAGCGGGGGAUAACUAUUGGAAACGAUAGCUAAUACCGCAUAACAAUGGAUGACACAUGUCCUUUAUUUGAAAGGGGCAAUUGCUCCACUACAAGAUGGACCUGCGUUGUAUUAGCUAGUAGGUGAGGUAAUGGCUCACCUAGGCGACGAUACAUAGCCGACCUGAGAGGGUGAUCGGCCACACUGGGACUGAGACACGGCCCAGACGCCUACGGGAGGCAGCAGUAGGGAAUCUUCGGCAAUGGGGGCAACCCUGACCGAGCAGCGCCGCGUGAGUGAAGAAGGUUUUCGGAUCGGAAAGCUCUGUUGUAAGUCAAGAACGGGUGUGAGAGUGGAAAGUUCACACUGUGACGGUAGCUAAGCAGAAAGGGACGGCUAACUACGUG